GACGAACGCUGGCGGCGUGCUUUACACAUGCAAGUCGAACGGAAAGGCCCUGCUUGCAGGGUACUCGAGUGGCGAACGGGUGAGUAACACGUGGGUGAUCUGCCCUGCACUUCGGGAUAAGCUUGGGAAACUGGGUCUAAUACCGGAUAGGAGCCAUCUUUAGUGUGGUGGUUGGAAAGUUUUUUCGGUGUAGGAUGAGCUCGCGGCCUAUCAGCUUGUUGGUGGGGUAAUGGCCUACCAAGGCGGCGACGGGUAGCCGGCCUGAGAGGGUGUACGGCCACAUUGGGACUGAGAUACGGCCCAGACUCCUACGGGAGGCAGCAGUGGGGAAUAUUGCACAAUGGGCGCAAGCCUGAUGCAGCGACGCCGCGUGGGGGAUGAAGGCCUUCGGGUUGUAAACUCCUUUCGCUAGGGACGAAGCUUUUUUGUGACGGUACCUAGAUAAGAAGCACCGGCUAACUACGUG
This 466-nucleotide ribosomal RNA is filed under the name uncultured bacterium. RNAcentral describes it as "partial 16S ribosomal RNA". It matches the Rfam family "Bacterial small subunit ribosomal RNA", at positions 28 to 507 of the family's 1533-position model. The record is from RNAcentral.